ACGCUAAACAUUUUUUGGCUGCUGCAGUAGCUCAGCUCAGCUCAGCUCAUUCAGUUCAGCUCGCUCAGCUCAGCUCCGCUCCGGACCGGACUCAGCUGCCAAGCUAUAAGAUGGAGUCAUGAAAUGUGACGGGACAGCCACCGAGGACUUCAUACUUCGGAGCAUCUCAAACAUGCACCACAAAGACGUGGAGGACACACCGCUGUCUCUCAGGACCUAGAAUCUUAAUGAAAGUAUAAUGAUGUUAAGGGAAGGUGUAAUGGAAAGGUGUAAUGGAAAGUUGUAAUGGUGUUAAGGGAAGGUGUAGUGGAAAGGUGUGAUAGUGUUGAGGGAAGGUGUAAUGUUAAAGGUGUGAUAGUGUUGAGGGAAGGUGUAAUAGUGUUGAGGGAAGGUGUAAUGUUAAAGGUGUGAUAGUGUUGAGGGAAGGUGUAAUAGUGUUGAGGGAAGGGGUAAUGUUAAAGGUGUAAUAGUGUUGAGGGAAGGUGUAAUGUUAAAGGUGUAAUAGUGUUAAGGGAAGGUAUAAUAUUGUUAAGGGAAGGUGUAAUGUAAAGCUGUAAUAGUUUUAAGGGAAGGUAAAUGUUUAGUGAAAUUGUUAUGGUGUGAAUCUAAGGUGUAUGUUAUGUUGAUGUAAAAUAAAGGCAUUAACCCCAAAUGAGAUUUACUCAUUAUUUUUAUUAUUAUAUUAAUGUUUCCCCAAACAGAAAGGGUCAAUUUAAAAUCAACAGUGGUAAGAUGGGGGUAAUUAAUUUAUCCCUUGCUUUUACUGGUUCUUUGCAGGUUGACAUGUUUUGAAAAAAGUGAGAGGGUUGAAAUGCAAUUUAUUUGUAAAGCAUAUUGUGUAUAACUAACGUGCAUAACUAGUUCCAGAAGGUUGUGAACCUGUUCCAGUAAUUGUUUGGCUUAGCUUUGUAUGCGUUUCCAGUUAACUGCUGAAGCUGGAACAAUGGAACAGUUGCUACCGUCUGAAA
Astyanax mexicanus (Mexican tetra) is the source of this 968-nucleotide long non-coding RNA. RefSeq lists it as uncharacterized. The transcript has 3 exons. Lineage: Eukaryota; Metazoa; Chordata; Actinopteri; Characiformes; Acestrorhamphidae. The record is from RefSeq and is a predicted model, not a curated record.